This 1875-nucleotide long non-coding RNA is filed under the name Carica papaya (papaya). RNAcentral describes it as "long non-coding RNA (CPAP_LNC006972)". Lineage: Eukaryota; Viridiplantae; Streptophyta; Magnoliopsida; Brassicales; Caricaceae. The record is from RNAcentral.
AUAUAAAAUAUACAUGCAUCUACCGGCCUCAGUUCGGACACACACACAACCUGCAACUAGCACGAGCAUCAGCACCACAACUUCCUUCUCUGCCAUUACCAACAUCAGCGCACCAACACUCACAUACACCGACACCAAUGUUGGCACCUCAAUAUGUCAAACCACCAAGAUUGCCAACACCUACACCACUUUGAUGACUCCACACCAGACUCACUUUCCUUCUUACAACCUCGUCUUGCUACUCUCUCUCUCUGGUUACUCUCUCCCUUCCCUUUUGCAAUAACUCGACCCCCAUAUACUAUCAUAUUUUACCCCAAUCCUGCUAUACGACACACACUAACUCCAUUCUGGGCUGUUCCUUUCCUUCCCCUCACUUCCACUCAAUUCACUCACCACUCCUCAUCUCUCUACCUUCUCCCAACUCGAAAUCAUCCUUUAAGCACCUGGACAAAAAUUCAAACCAUGUCACCAUAAUAAAGUUUGAGAACCCGAGUUUAUUUAUCUCUAGCCUCCAUCUUCUCCUAGCUCGGUAAGAUCUUCUUCACUCGUAAGCUUCCUCAACCUCUGCUCUCGAUCUCUCCUUUAGUUUCUUCACUCUCUCUCCUUCCCUGUCGACCGACCUAUCUCUUCCCCCCCUUUUGUUUUUCUUUUUCCUUUUUCUUUUCUUUUCUUUUUUCUUCCCUUAGCCCACCCCUAUUUAUAUAUCUCCCUUCCCAUCUAAUCUUAACCCUUCAUCCUACCAUUCAAAUCCUCACCAUCCACUUAGUUGACUCCUAAACCUACUUGACCUUACAACACACCCCCUUUGCUGUGUUACAAGUGAGAAGAGUGGGGCUGGUCUAUGGGCUUGGGUCUUUUGGAUUGGGCCGAAGAAAACAUUAGGCUAGCUGGGUGUUACAACCAUUACCGACAACUGACCAUCAAAUGGCCACUCAUACACACACACAACCUUUACCGACACAUCAGAACACACAUUCCUUUAAAAUCUGGUGACAUUCCUAAAUGUUUUUACCUAUUUUCACCCUUACCUCUCGAUCUCCACGCAAUUCGUUCCUAUCACCCCUAAACUCGACUCAGACUUUCUUGCUUCCUGAACUUUAUAGAAUAUUAUCUAUUUUCCUUCCCCUUCCUCUCCUCACAAACCAUAAAAGUAAUAAUCUGGUAAGAAUUUCAUAAUUGAUUUACCAUUUUCACCAUUCAAAAUCCACUUGCCUCUCGUUUCGAGUGUGGUGUCAGAUUGCAGUGACAGACCUCCUUUCAAAUAAUCUCCCUCGUAUGCGGUUGUACUCCGACGAGGUCUCUCGUGCUACCUCAUCCAUCUUAGCCUUUCAAGAGUCGUUUCCUCUUUUCCUCCUUAGUCGAGCUUCCUCCCUUUUUCUUUAUGCUAACCUCACCCUAAAACCCUUACGAUGUUGCAGAUGAGAAGAAGAAAGGGAAGGCUAUUCGUGUAGGCUUGGGGUUCGGGCUCGGGUGGGUUUUUUUUUUUUCUAUUUUAUUAGGCUGAAGGAGGUAUUGGGCUUGAUAGGUGCUACAAUCUCUCCCCUUAAAAAAAAUUAGUCCUCCAAAUUUUUCAUGACAAGGGAUACUUGUUUUCAAGUUUCCUCCUCAACUAGAUGGCUUCGUUGCUAUGUUAUCACCAAAAAGAUCUUUUAGUACAUAACCACUUCUUCUCUAAAUCGCAUAAGUAAGGUAUAAUUGCAAAGAAUUCAUCUCUCUAUUCCAAGUAUUUUAGUGCUUAGAGUUUGUUGGUGCCUCUCACUAUAGUUAUCUUAAGAGCAUUUGAUUCAACAAAAAAAAUAUCAUCAUGGACCCUAGUGAUCCUCAGGAUUCAUUAAAGUCUAAUAUUUUUCAAUUAUAUUGUAUGCAAUUAUUAUU